This 253-nucleotide ribosomal RNA is filed under the name uncultured microorganism. Its description in RNAcentral is "partial 16S ribosomal RNA". It matches the Rfam family "Bacterial small subunit ribosomal RNA", at positions 524 to 776 of the family's 1533-position model. The record is from RNAcentral.
UACGUAGGGUGCGAGCGUUAAUCGGAUUUACUGGGCGUAAAGCGUGCGCAGGCGGCCCGUUAAGACAGGUGUGAAAUCCCUGGGCUCAACCUAGGAAUUGCGCUUGUGACUGGCGGGCUCGAGUACGGUAGAGGGGGGUGGAAUUCCUGGUGUAGCAGUGAAAUGCGUAGAGAUCAGGAGGAACACCGGUGGCGAAGGCAGCCCCCUGGGCCUGUACUGACGCUCAUGCACGAAAGCGUGGGGAGCAAACAGG